Molecule: long non-coding RNA, 322 nt
Filed under: Nicotiana tabacum (common tobacco)
Lineage: Eukaryota; Viridiplantae; Streptophyta; Magnoliopsida; Solanales; Solanaceae
Description: long non-coding RNA (NTAB_LNC001228)
Source: RNAcentral
CCUAUUACUAUAAAUCACCACCACCUCCAUCGCCAUCACCUCCACCUCCAUAUUACUACAAGUCUCCACCACCGCCAUCUCCAUCACCGCCACCACCCUAUUACUACAAGUCUCCUCUUUCACCGUCGCCUUCUCCUCCACCUCCAUACUAUUACCACUCUCCACCCCCUCCAGUAAAGUCUCCUCCUCCUGCCUAUUACUACAGCUCACCUCCUCCACCCGUGAAAUCACCACCUCCACCAGUAUACAUUUAUGCUUCUCCGCCACCUCCAAUCCACUACUAAGUAUUUCUAAGAGCUCAGCCAUUCUCCACAAUCAAUCA